CACAGAUGUAUACCCACCUCUGUGUGCACACUCACCUCUGUGUGUACACCACCUCCUCUCUGGAAGGAGCUUUCUCUGUGAAAGGGGAACUAGGGAAGUGAGGGUCAGAGGAGAGAGGAGGAUUCAGUCUUUACUAUAUACACAUUUGCACUGUAAGCAUUUUGUUUAAAAUUAUUAUAAAACCUCCAAUAACUUUUAUCUCAAUUUGCAAUGUAAUAUUCCUCAAUGGAAUUUUUUUACACAUGUUCUUAGGUCAGGUUCCCUAGAAGCAGACCCUAAAACAAGUAUUCAUGUGCAAGUAACUUAUUAAGGAUGUGCUGCCAGUGAGGGAGCGGGGAAGUCGUACAACAAAGUAGAAGCAGCCCAGGAAGGACACAAUUUUAAGAACAUCCCGUGACCAGCGGCUUAGUCUGAUCCUGUGGGGAGCUCUGAGGGCAGAAGAGUACUAGAGGCCCUCUCCAGAGACAAGAAGAAAAAGAAUUUCAGAGGCUCAGAGGAAAGUUCAAUAUGGCCCCAUGGCAAG
Molecule: small RNA, 523 nt
Filed under: Pongo abelii (Sumatran orangutan)
Lineage: Eukaryota; Metazoa; Chordata; Mammalia; Primates; Hominidae
Description: processed transcript
Source: RNAcentral